GUGCUUGCUCUGGCGGCAUACAUACUAAUACUGGAACAAUGCAGAGGUUAACAUGGCCCCUGUGCAAGCAUGACAUGCAAAUUUAUGAAGGAUUCCAUAUUGGA
This 104-nucleotide small nuclear RNA is filed under the name Procavia capensis (Cape rock hyrax). The record is from RNAcentral. Lineage: Eukaryota; Metazoa; Chordata; Mammalia; Hyracoidea; Procaviidae.